Molecule: transfer RNA, 71 nt
Filed under: Candidatus Methylacidiphilum infernorum
Lineage: Bacteria; Pseudomonadati; Verrucomicrobiota; Methylacidiphilae; Methylacidiphilales; Methylacidiphilaceae
Description: tRNA-Gly
Rfam family: tRNA
About the family: Transfer RNA (tRNA) molecules are approximately 80 nucleotides in length.
Source: RNAcentral
GCGGGUGUAGUUCAAUGGUAGAACACGGGCUUCCCAAGCCUGAAACGAGGGUUCGAUUCCCUUCACCCGCU